CAGUAGCCGCGGGAAUACGUAGGGUGCAAGCGUUAAUCGGAAUUACUGGGCGUAAAGCGUGCGCAGGCGGUUAUAUAAGACAGAUGUGAAAUCCCCGGGCUCAACCUGGGACCUGCAUUUGUGACUGUAUAGCUAGAGUACGGUAGAGGGGGAUGGAAUUCCGCGUGUAGCAGUGAAAUGCGUAGAUAUGCGGAGGAACACCGAUGGCGAAGGCAAUCCCCUGGACCUGUACUGACGCUCAUGCACGAAAGCGUGGGGAGCAAACAGGAUUAGAUACCCCAGUAGUCCCUGUCUCUUAUAC
Molecule: ribosomal RNA, 301 nt
Filed under: uncultured bacterium
Lineage: Bacteria
Description: partial 16S ribosomal RNA
Rfam family: Bacterial small subunit ribosomal RNA
Source: RNAcentral